GGGCUAUUAGUGUAGUGGUAGCAUACAUGCCCCGGAAGCAUGUAGCCCAGGUUCGAUUCCUGGAUAGCCCGC
This 72-nucleotide transfer RNA is filed under the name Tupanvirus deep ocean. RNAcentral describes it as "tRNA-Pro". It matches the Rfam family "tRNA". Rfam says of the family: Transfer RNA (tRNA) molecules are approximately 80 nucleotides in length. RNAcentral also lists the same sequence under 1 other name. Lineage: Varidnaviria; Bamfordvirae; Nucleocytoviricota; Megaviricetes; Imitervirales; Mimiviridae. The record is from RNAcentral.